Molecule: small nuclear RNA, 132 nt
Filed under: Allomachilis froggatti
Lineage: Eukaryota; Metazoa; Arthropoda; Insecta; Archaeognatha; Meinertellidae
Description: partial U2 snRNA
Rfam family: U2 spliceosomal RNA
About the family: U2 is a small nuclear RNA (snRNA) component of the spliceosome (involved in pre-mRNA splicing). Complementary binding between U2 snRNA (in an area lying towards the 5' end but 3' to hairpin I) and the branchpoint sequence (BPS) of the intron results the bulging out of an unpaired adenosine, on the BPS, which initiates a nucleophilic attack at the intronic 5' splice site, thus starting the first of two transesterification reactions that mediate splicing.
Source: RNAcentral
GAUCAAAGUGUAGUAUCUGUUCUUAUCAGCUUAAUAUCUGAUACGAUCCUCAUCGAGGAUCCAGAAUAUUAAACUUAUUUUUGGAGAAUGACGGAGUGUUAGGGGCUUGCUCCACCUCUGUCGCGGGUUGGC